UGUCGUAGAGAAAUGGAGGACACUUUAAACCACCUGAAGAUCCUGAAUGUCUUGAGUCCUAGAGGUUUCCAUAUUCCAAAUUGUGACAAGAAGGGAUUCUACAAGAAAAAGCAAUGUCGUCCAUCCAAAGGCCGAAAAAGAGGUUAUUGCUGGUGUGUGGAUAAAUAUGGACAACCGCUUCCUGGAUAUGAUGGCAAGGGAAAAGGAGAUGUCCACUGCUAUAACUUGGAAAGCAAGUGAGGGCUGAAUGCCAAGCUCUUCUGGCAUCUGUGUGUGACAGCUGGACCUAGCAGAGACCUUGGAGGGAAGUACUGCAUUUUGCAAGGCGUUAUGGUCUCUGCUUCCUGUCUGUCUCCUGUGGUGGCUGGGGGGAUCCAGACCUCUGUGGGUUCUGCAGCUGUACCUGGCCACUGAUACGUGUUGAGCUUUCUAUAGAAUGUGUAGGGAGCUCUGAAUUCCUAUGAAAACCUGCACUAUUGACACCAAGAGAGAAAGAAAAACACAAGGCACUUCAGAAUGGAUUCAGGGAAUUUCCACUGACCUUUUAAAAAAUGGCUUGUGGCCAAUUUGAUCCUGAGAGAUUCUGGUUUAAAUUUGAAAGAAUUCGUAGAUUGAAAACUUGUAAAAAUUAAUAAAGCAACUCUGACAAUGGAAAGUAACACCCGAGGAUUUAAAGGGUAGGGAUUUUUUUUUUUUAUAAGUCUGACUUAUCUUCACGGGUAAAAUGUUUUAUAAAAAAUGUCAAAGAACUUUUUAAGAGACAUAUUUCUAAAAUAAAGACAUGGCUAUUUUUUUCUGUAAAGUGUAUUAUGAAUAUUCUGUUAGUCUGUAUUUAAUAUAAUUGUUUUAAAAUAAACUUAUUUAAAUAUAAAACGUAAAUACCAAACUAGACAAUAAUUCUAGUGUAUACUGUAUGCAAAGAGAAGGUAAGAACACGGGAUGAUUUACAAAUGUGUAUAGUUCCAUGUGCAUGCACACUGACCUAUUCUAGAUAGUAGAAAUGGACUUGUGGAGUAAAGGAAGUGUUUCCAGAAGGAAUUGUUUCAUUAUCUGAAGUAGGUACAAAUACCAUGAAAAUCUUCUAAAUUUUGUUUAUUAUUUUAUUGGUAUUUCUGAUGUACCCAUCACUGAAUUAUGCCACUGGAAAAAUUAACAGUUGCACUGAAGCUCUCUAUAAAACAUUCAUUUUUCAUCCGUCCUUAGCUUCAGUUUUUGCAACAAGGCUUAUGUUCUGUCUGUUUCCUUCAGGUCUCCUCAUGUUAGUAUAAAAAGUUUAUGGACAAAAAGAUGCCAUUACAGUACCAGCCUUUCUGUUUGCUGACUUACUUUUAAAAACUGUGUCUACUCUGUGUUGUCUUAAUAUACUCUAACAAAGCACACAUUCACCGUGAGGAACUUAUGUUUUAUGUUUAAAACAGUGCAGAUGAGGGGACUAUGUACUUGGCUGUUGAGACCUGUGUGCUCUGUUUAUACUAAACAUAAUAGUUUUUUUCCUUUGACUUCGAUAGAAAUUAUUUGCCUGUAUUUAAGCAUAGAGUGAGAAGCACAGUUUAAAUAUCCAAACCACCUGCCAUGACAUUAUAUGUCCUUUUAAUUGGAAGAUAGGUGUUUUGGUUUUAUUCUAAUAGGUGAUGCUUUUAUGUUAAAAAAAAAGAAAAAGAAAAAAAAAAAAAAGUCUUUGGCAGUUUUGCUUUUGUUUUGUUUUGGCCGAUGGUUUAUUGAAAUUUAUGGGGGGAAAAAAACCAAACUGUAUGACAGUGAAACCUGGUAAGGAAAGGUGGCCUGUGAAGUGUACCAGCUCUCUGGAAAGUAAUGCCAUACUUUGUAUAUAUAUUUAUUUAUAUAUUUUAUAUAAAUAUCAUAUAUAUUUAUAUAAAUAUAUAAUAUAUUCUUGUAUGUGUCACUAUAAAUGUUUGAUGUCAACAUAAUUAAAAAACAAAAAAAACAAUUACAUCAUCAUUGCAAUUUCCUUUUGGGUUGGGAGUUUGGAGAAUGAGAGCAGUACUCUCGUGUGCCUUUCCAACUAUUGCAGCCAGUGGUUUUGCUGAUGGAUGGGAGACCGUGAGGUCAAAGAGCCUGCUCCUCUCCCACCCUGCAAGUUGCAGCAGUCCUUUUUUCAUGCCAGCACUGGCAAAUGUCUUGAAAAUCUGAUGUGGAAAGAUCUGGAUACACAACUUGAAGGGUCAAGAUAGCAAUCGCUUCAAACCAAAUGUUUAAAAUUUUACCUGGACAUGUAUUAGCUACCCUGUUUGAAUUCUUUGCAUAUUCCUAAUCUAUAUCUAAUGAAAUGGAUUCUCAUCAUUGUUAAAACUUAAAUUUUAAACUUAACAGUAAGAAUAUAGGGCGUGUGAAGUUAUGCUUAGGCCGGGCUUAUACAGGCUUAUUGGUGGAUGGUUACAUUGAGCUUUGUGAGUUGAAGAUUUAUUGCAAUAGUUUUACUGCUACUGCAAAUAUAAUGCCUGCGAAGAUUUGUUGGCUAAACAAAUGAAUAAAUGAUGAGCUCUUCUCCUUAUUUCUUUUUUUUCUUUUCUUUUGAGUUGUAAACCAGUUCAUUUCAAAUACAUACACAUGGAGAGUAAAGUUACAUUUAACAGUGUUUGCUCAUGUAAUAGACGGUAAGUGCUGGAUUCAUAAAAAUGGGUUAUUAGUAGUUCCAUUUUUUUUUUUUCCAUCUGUACCUCAUGAGCCCUCUGAGAAAGGAAACCAACCUCUCUUGUAUUUCUUGCCUGUGAUUUCAAGCUACAUCAUGCAGAAAUUGCCUGUAAGUAUUCCUUAAGAGUAUGAUUGCUUGCACGAGUACUGGACACUUACUGUUUUGUUCAUGUUCCUGGCAGCUGGCAUUCUUGUUGUUAAAUAUUAACUUUAUUUCCUUGUAUCCCUACAGGGUAAAGAAGAUCAGUGGUAGUUUGAAUUUUUUUUUUUUUAAUUAAUUAAUUAAUUAAUUAUGAGUAGUCCUAUUUCUAUGAAAACAAAGGUUCAGUUCAGCAGACAAGUUGCACAUCAUUCAGAGGUUCUUGUCAUGGCUGUGGGAGUCAGGCUGCAAUUCAAGCAAGAUUAUUUAUGGGCUACAUAGACUGUGGACAACAUGGAGCAAAUGUAUGGACCUAUAUGGAGAGAGGAGUUGGACUCCAAGGAACCUGCUUUAGAGGAGUUGGACUAGAUGAUCUCCAGAGGACUCCAGGGGUCCCUUCCAACUCCUGAUUCAGUGAUUUUUGUGGAUCCCUGCCAACUUAGGAUAUUCUACGAUUCUAGGAUCUAUGAAGAACUCUCACCAUACUUAAUUCCAAGGAAGCCUCUGCAAAUGCAGGAUUUCCUGACAGCCAAAUGCAGCCAGACUCAAUUUACACCAGAUCAGCAGCAGAACAUGCAAGCUGAAGUGACUUGUUAUGAAACAUAUCUAAAUGAAUUAAAGCAAAAGAACCAUAAGUGAUCAAACG
Molecule: long non-coding RNA, 3437 nt
Organism: Lagopus leucura (white-tailed ptarmigan)
Lineage: Eukaryota; Metazoa; Chordata; Aves; Galliformes; Phasianidae
Exons: 4
Source: RefSeq, a predicted model, not a curated record